Molecule: unclassified non-coding RNA, 241 nt
Filed under: Hevea brasiliensis (rubber tree)
Lineage: Eukaryota; Viridiplantae; Streptophyta; Magnoliopsida; Malpighiales; Euphorbiaceae
Source: RNAcentral
GGUUUUCUUAGGUGUAAUGUUCUCCACAGUAUCUUUCCAAAUUGUAAUGGUAGAACUUCUGGGGGCAUUUGCUGAUACUGUUCCAUUAAGCUGGGAUUUAUGGUUGGCCAGUGUCUUGAUUGGAGCUGCAAGCUUAGUUGUUGCAGUUGUUCUGAAGUGCAUUCCUGUCCAAACAGGCCAAGACCACCAAGUUGCUAAAGGUCAUGAUGGUUAUGAGCCUCUUCCUAGUGGCCCAGAUAUG